CUACGGGGUGCUGCAGUGAGGAAUAUUGCACAAUGGGGGGAACCCUGAUGCAGCAACGCCGCGUGGAGGAUGACGCAUUUCGGUGUGUAAACUCCUUUUAUAUGUCAAGAAAAUGACGGUAGCAUAUGAAUAAGCACCGGCUAACUCCGUGCCAGCAGCCGCGGUAAUACGGAGGGUGCAAGCGUUACUCGGAAUCACUGGGCGUAAAGGACGCGUAGGCGGGUUGGAAAGUCAGGUGUGAAAUCCUACAGCUUAACUGUAGAGCUGCACUUGAAACUUCUAAUCUAGAGUAUGGGAGGGGGAGAUGGAAUUAGUGGUGUAGGGGUAAAAUCCGUAGAUAUCACUAGGAAUACCUAAAGCGAAGGCGAUCUCCUGGAACAUUACUGAUGCUAAGGCGUGAAAGCGUGGGGAGCAAACAGGAUUAGAUACCCUCGUAGUC
This 439-nucleotide ribosomal RNA is filed under the name uncultured bacterium. Its description in RNAcentral is "partial 16S ribosomal RNA". It matches the Rfam family "Bacterial small subunit ribosomal RNA", at positions 339 to 795 of the family's 1533-position model. The record is from RNAcentral.